Molecule: long non-coding RNA, 1124 nt
Organism: Sciurus carolinensis (gray squirrel)
Lineage: Eukaryota; Metazoa; Chordata; Mammalia; Rodentia; Sciuridae
Exons: 5
Source: RefSeq, a predicted model, not a curated record
GUAAUUCCUUCGCUCCUGCAACAGGAGGGUCUAAGAUGCAUAUUUCCACUUAACCCUCCAGCCUUUUUCUGUAUCCAUAUCUAGGGGCAUGAACAAGAACCAAGGUAGCCAUUAUAUAACUUUGGACCAUGGAGAGGGAUGCUAUAUAUUUAUUUAUGUUCGUUUGUUUAUUAUUUUGAAGGGAUGGAGAUAGUCUGAACUUUAGAGAGUGCUAUAAUUUACUAGAGGGAGGAGGUACAAGAUGUAGAACCACAAGCUAUUGGUGGGAAACUAGGCCUCAAAGCAGAAAAUGAAAAGUCGAUCUGGGGGAAGAUUUUUAAAUAAGUGGGUCAGAGAGACCAAGAGGAGAUGAGGCGAUCAAUCUUAGCCCCCUGACAGCUCCCUCCGAUUGCAUCAAAGAAUUUGUCUCUUUGGGAAAGCAGAAGGAACAGCCGAAAUUCCACAUCCCUUAAAAAGGACUGAGGGGAGGGGGUGGUAAAAGAGAAAGGUGAUUCUGGGAGAGCCAGGAAACAGAUGGGAAAUGGGGACAGAGGGAAGGCGCUGAGUUGGGUGGAAAGUUUGCCGGGAGAACUCCCACGGCUCUGGCCUCCCCUCCCCCUACCGGUUCUCUGCAACCCAGACCGAAGGAGAAGGCUAGUUAGCAGAGAAAUGGAAACUCAACUGGGAGCUGGAACUAGAAACUUUGUCAAUGUAACAUCCGCGUGGGAGGUGACCCAAUGGUUGUUGGGCUUCGGGUCACGUGAUGACUUCUUUGUAGCUCCGGAAGACGACUGUGAAGUUUAGGUUCUGUGGAAGAAGCAGAGAAAGAGAGGGGGAAAAUCAAGAUUUGGGGGAAUUACCCACAGAGGUGGAAGGUGUGUUAAUUUGGGAGCUUCUUGGAUUCUACCCUGAGGAGGAGGAGCGUGGUGAGAGGAGAGCUCCACUAGCUGCGCGCUGGUGUACGCCGUCCGCGCCCGCUUGGACGCCGCUGACCCCGGGGGGCUCUUGUCCCCUCCCCCGCCACCGCCGCCGCCGCCCCCACUGCCUCCACUACUGCCGCCGCCGCCGCCACCACCACCGCCACCGCAGCCUUCUGCUGGAUCCAAGGAGGAGGGGUGGGAAGGGGAGAAAAUGAAAUAAAAGAU